AUCUGGGGCCAUACCAACUGCAUCCCGUUCGAUCUGCGCAGAUCUGCGCAGUCAACACUGUAGGGCCGAGUCAGUAGUGCGGUGGGGGACCACGCGCGAAUACUCUGGUGCCCAGGUU
This 118-nucleotide ribosomal RNA is filed under the name Puccinia triticina 1-1 BBBD Race 1. The record is from RNAcentral. Lineage: Eukaryota; Fungi; Basidiomycota; Pucciniomycetes; Pucciniales; Pucciniaceae.